RNAcentral lists this transfer RNA (73 nucleotides) under Mnemiopsis leidyi (sea walnut). Its description in RNAcentral is "tRNA-Val for anticodon UAC". It matches the Rfam family "tRNA". From Rfam's summary of the family: Transfer RNA (tRNA) molecules are approximately 80 nucleotides in length. Their secondary structure includes four short double-helical elements and three loops (D, anti-codon, and T loops). Lineage: Eukaryota; Metazoa; Ctenophora; Tentaculata; Lobata; Bolinopsidae. The record is from RNAcentral. RNAcentral also lists the same sequence under 1 other name.
GGUUCGGUGGUGUAGUGGUUAUCACGUCUGCUUUACACGCAGAAGGUCCCGGGUUCAAUCCCCGGUCGAACCU